RNAcentral lists this unclassified non-coding RNA (386 nucleotides) under fungal sp. RNAcentral's name for it is "partial internal transcribed spacer region". The stretch from base 1 to 46 matches the Rfam family "Eukaryotic small subunit ribosomal RNA", at positions 1786 to 1831 of the family's 1831-position model. Lineage: Eukaryota; Fungi. The record is from RNAcentral.
AAGUCGUAACAAGGUUUCCGUAGGUGAACCUGCGGAAGGAUCAUUAAAGUAUAUGUGUUUUACCAUGUGCAGAGUUGGGGGGAGGAGGGGAGGUGGUUUUUGAUGUUAUGUUUGAUAUGUUAGCUUGUUUGAAUGAUUUAUGUUUGACAUGAUUUAUGUUUGAUGUUAUAAUAAAUUAUUUCAUCAUGUUAUUUCAUCAUGUUAUUUCAUCAUGUUAUUUCAUCAUGUUAUUUCAUCAUGUUAUUUCAUCAUGUUAUUUCAUCAUGUUAUUUCAUCAUGUUAUUUCAUCAUAAUUCAAUCAUUCUCAUCUAUCCCCCCAUCAUAUAUACUAUUCGUCAAAUCUUAACAACAAAUAAUAAUUUGCGGCAAUGGAUCUCUAGGCUCUU